GGCGCGGGGGGCGGUGCGGUGCCCGGUGCCCCCGGGGCUGCAGGCCCUGCGCUGCCGCUGCUCGGCACGGACGGCAGACGGAGGGCGGACAGACAGACAGACGCGGGGCUGCGCGUAUCUCUGCGGCGGCGGAGGCCGCGUCCCGGCACAGCCGUUUCGGGGCACGGCACCCCGAGCUCUGCCCGCCGACAGGACGGGAGAACGGCUCCGGGUGCCGUUCCCGGCGAAAGGCAUCCCCCCCCGCUCCGGGGAAGAGCUCGCUGCUACCGGGGGGCUCCGGCACCACCCCCGCUGCCGGCAAAGUUGCUCCAAGUUGGAGCCGUCGCGCUCUCCGCUUCGCCUCACGGAUUCGCUUUUCUCUCUCUCUCUCCCUCCCAGGUGAGCUCGGCUGCAGCGCAGGACCCGCCCGCCCUACCAGGAGAGGGGAAAUCCCCGCAUCGCUCCCAUCGCUCCCAUCCAGCAGCAGCCACCGCAGGCAACGGGGGACAGGGAGCAGCGGGGACAGCGGGGAGACAACCCUAUGGCAGCACCCUCAGAAUCCAGGGGGAGAUGUGCCCUGCCAGGACCUGGUGCUGUGGGUUUGCAGCCACAAAUCUGGGCAUGGGUCCAGGGGAUGGGAGGUGCAGCUGCAACCCCAGCGUGACUCAGAGAUGGGACUGCACCCAUAUUCCACCAGGGAUGCUCCAGAGCCUCCUGGAUGCGGAACAGGGAUUUGCUGACUGCAUCCCACAGACACAGUGCUGGAUCCCCCUCGGCUGACCCAUGGCAUGAGGACACAGCUGAGAACACCACUGUUUUUCCCCAGGACAGCCUGUUUGCAGCACAUCCAGCGCAAGGCACAGCUCUUGGUGAUGUGAGAGGACGCCGUGUGGUCUGGAUGGCCAAGAAUGGCUGGAAAAGAGCCCAGGCACUGACUGAAAUGUGGGCAGGGUCCGGGCAGGUCCCCUCCCUGUCCCCAGGGUAAAUUCUUACUCUGUCCCAUCACUGGACCCUGGGGGUCCUGGGGCACAGAGCUGCAACCACUGCACCCAAGGCACCGGGAGACAAGACCUGCAGCAAGUGGAGGUGAAAAGGAAAAACAACAAGUAUAUUAAAGGUGUUGAAAGCCUACAGCAGUGCCACAGCCUGGU
Molecule: RNA transcript, 1130 nt
Organism: Tympanuchus pallidicinctus (lesser prairie-chicken)
Lineage: Eukaryota; Metazoa; Chordata; Aves; Galliformes; Phasianidae
Gene name: translation initiation factor IF-2-like
Exons: 4
Source: RefSeq, a predicted model, not a curated record